ACCAGUAAAAGUAUGCAGUUGGAACGUUUGCCUACGUUUGCCGCUAGGGGCGCUGUUCCAGCUGCAUACAAAUUAGCGUUA
This 81-nucleotide microRNA precursor is filed under the name Bombyx mori (domestic silkworm). RNAcentral's name for it is "mir-2807 microRNA precursor family". It matches the Rfam family "mir-2807 microRNA precursor family". Lineage: Eukaryota; Metazoa; Arthropoda; Insecta; Lepidoptera; Bombycidae. The record is from Rfam by way of RNAcentral.